GGAGCGGUGUCCGAGUGGUUGAAGGUGGCAGUCUUGAAAACUGCUGGGUGGCAACAUCCCGGGGGUUCGAAUCCCCCCUGCUCCG
RNAcentral lists this transfer RNA (85 nucleotides) under Treponema sp. Its description in RNAcentral is "tRNA-Ser". It matches the Rfam family "tRNA". Rfam says of the family: Transfer RNA (tRNA) molecules are approximately 80 nucleotides in length. Lineage: Bacteria; Pseudomonadati; Spirochaetota; Spirochaetia; Treponematales; Treponemataceae. The record is from RNAcentral.